Molecule: ribosomal RNA, 301 nt
Filed under: uncultured bacterium
Lineage: Bacteria
Description: partial 16S ribosomal RNA
Rfam family: Bacterial small subunit ribosomal RNA
Source: RNAcentral
CAGUCGCCGCGGGAAUACGUAGGUGGCGAGCGUUGUCCGGAAUCAUUGGGCGUAAAGGGAGCGCAGGCGGGCAUGUAAGUCUUUCUUAAAAGUUCGGGGCUCAACCCCGUGAUGGGAAAGAAACUACAUGUCUUGAGUACAGGAGAGGAAAGCGGAAUUCCCAGUGUAGCGGUGAAAUGCGUAGAUAUUGGGAGGAACACCAGUGGCGAAGGCGGCUUUCUGGACUGCAACUGACGCUGAGGCUCGAAAGCCAGGGGAGCGAACGGGAUUAGAUACCCGAGUAGUCCCUGUCUCUUAUACA